RNAcentral lists this long non-coding RNA (494 nucleotides) under Mustela putorius furo (domestic ferret). Its description in RNAcentral is "lncRNA (ENSMPUG00000025389.1)". The record is from RNAcentral. Lineage: Eukaryota; Metazoa; Chordata; Mammalia; Carnivora; Mustelidae.
UGUAUCUUCUCUUUUCUUUUCUUUUUUUUUUUUUUAAGAUUUAUUUAUUUAUUUAUUUGACAGAGAGAGAUCACAAGUAGGCAGAGAGGCAGGCAGAGAGAGAGAGGAGGAAGCAGGCUCCCUGCCGAGCAGAGAUCCCGAUGCGGGACUCGAUCCCAGGACCCUGAGAUCAUGACCUGAGCCGAAGGCAGCGGCUUAACCCACUGAGCCACCCAGGCGCCCUGUAUCUUCUCUUUUCAUCUCAAAUCAAACACUCUCAGUGAGGAAGUUGACAUCACAUGAAUACGUGUGACAUCAUUCCGUAUCUGCUUCCUUACCUUUGCCAUCCACUCAGGAGAAUCAGUAGCCGGAAUAAUUCAGGAAAGGCAACUGUUGCACGUGUUCUUAAAGUGGUGCUUUCACUUCAGAAAGCUGAGCUCACAAAGAACAUCAAUGAAUUAAAUUUGAGAAAGUAAUGAACUCUUCUAGGAGUAAAGACACCUGCAAUUGCUUUC